GAUGAACGCUGGCGGCGUGCCUAAUACAUGCAAGUCGAGCGAACGGACGAGAAGCUUGCUUCUCUGAUGUUAGCGGCGGACGGGUGAGUAACACGUGGAUAACCUACCUAUAAUACUGGGAUAACUUCGGGAAACCGGAGCUAAUACCGGAUAAUAUUUUGAACCGCAUGGUUCAAAAGUGAAAGACGGUCUUGCUGUCACUUAUAGAUGGAUCCCCGCUGCAUUAGCUAGUUGGUAAGGUAACGGCUUACCGAGGCAACGAUGCAUAGCCGACCUGAGAGGGUGAUCGGCCACACUGGAGCUGAGACACGGUCCAGACUCCUACGGGAGGCAGCAGUAGGGAAUCUUCCGCAAUGGGCGAAAGCAUGACGGAGCAACGCGGCGUGAGUGAUGAAGGUCUUCGGAUCGUAAAACUCUGUUAUUAGGGAAGAACAUAUGUGUAAGUAACUGUGCACAUCUUGACGGUACCUAAUCAGAAAGCCACGGCUAACUACGUG
RNAcentral lists this ribosomal RNA (497 nucleotides) under uncultured bacterium. Its description in RNAcentral is "partial 16S ribosomal RNA". It matches the Rfam family "Bacterial small subunit ribosomal RNA", at positions 28 to 507 of the family's 1533-position model. The record is from RNAcentral.